Long non-coding RNA from Alexandromys fortis (reed vole), 1224 nucleotides. RefSeq lists it as uncharacterized. The record is from RefSeq and is a predicted model, not a curated record. The transcript is spliced from 3 exons. Lineage: Eukaryota; Metazoa; Chordata; Mammalia; Rodentia; Cricetidae.
AAAAAAAUAAUUACUGAUCUUCCUGACAGAGAUGGUGAAGGGGGAGGUAAAAGAAUUUUUCUUAUGUUUGUUUUAUAAAAAUUUGCUUCAUUCUACAGCAAUCAGUAACUAAAACAUGGCAUGCUUUGGGCGGUGCUUUCUGCUGCUUCCUCUGAAAGGGAAAAUUAUGUAACAUAAAGAGCAAACGGUAAUAGACCUCGGACCUGCUGAGGACACUGGAGUCAUUCAUUCCAAGCCCUUGGGACCGGCAUCGCAAGCAGCCAGUGCUCAGUGAACACAACCAAAUUUCCUACUUAGGAAAUCCUUUAAAUUUCCCUAGUGGAAGGUAAAGAUUCUUACCUCCAAACACGAUUACCAGAGUGUGAGCUCCAGGAUCCACACCGUGGAAGGAGAGAGCCAGCUCCUGUGAGUUGUCUUCUGACCUCCACACUCAAACCACGGCAGCCUCUGUGUUCUUGGAUCACGAAGAGUUGCAUCUUAUGAAGCAGAGGAACCAGUGCCCGAGAGGAGACUCUGGACAUGAUGGACAUCCAACGAUUAGAAGAAAUUAAUAAAAAGGAAGGUGUCACCAUGCUUCUCCUAAGAAUAAUAGUGGCUUUGAGUGUCUCCAAGGGAUGAGUGGGAUGGGAUCAACUCAACACACAGUAGGGCAACAUAGGAUUUGCAGCUGCAGCGGAAGAGUUAAGUAAAUCAGGGUCACAAGUUUGGCUGCAUUUCCAACUUGGUCUGGCUGGCCAUGUGAUUGCGAUGCAUAAUGCAUCAGCUGGACAAUGAGAUCUAUUCACUAAUCCAAGCUAGCCCUGAGUUCCCUGCAAGAGAACUGGGACUCUUCUCACAGCGGCGCUGACUCUGAGGAGAAAGACAACCCUUUUAAAUCAGUGUUUGCAAAGCCUGUGGGUGGACAGUUUUGUUUUCUGUUCUUUUUUUUUUUCUAAAAAAUAAAACAAACUAUCUUUUUUCAUUUUACACACCAAUCCCAGUUCCCACUCCCUCCCCUCCUCCAAUUUUUUUCCACCUUCCCCUCCACUGCACCCCCAUCCACUCCUCAGAGAGGGUAAGGCACAUUGCUUUGGGGAAGGUCCAAGGCCCUCCCUACUAUAUCUAGGCUGAACAAGGUAUUCAUUCAAAGAGAAUAGGUUCCCCAAAAGCCAGUACAUGUAGUAGGGAUAAAUCCUGGUGCCACUGCCAUUGGCCCUGUAAUCUGCCCCAAACAAUACAACUGUU